Rosa rugosa (rugosa rose) is the source of this 1479-nucleotide RNA transcript. It is a transcript of the gene named DNA repair protein XRCC3 homolog, with no coding region annotated. NCBI's taxonomy places the organism in Eukaryota, Viridiplantae, Streptophyta, Magnoliopsida, Rosales, Rosaceae. The transcript has 3 exons. The record is from RefSeq and is a predicted model, not a curated record.
UCCACCUUCUUAAAAGGUCUCCCUCCCCAAACCCUUCUCUUCCCGCCCUUCAUCUAAGAGCCCCAAAUUUGAAGACCAAAAACAAUGAACCCCUCAAACCUCCUCCCUACCCAGAAUCUAACGAUGGGCUGUCCAGUCCUCGACCGCUGCCUCGGCGGCGGAAUCCCCUGCAACUCCCUCACGGAGCUCGUAGCCGAGAGCAGCUGCGGCAAGACCCAAUUCUGCCUCCAACUCACUCUCUUCGCUCAGCUCCCUCCUUCCCACGGCGGCCUCUCCGCCUCCUCUCUUUACCUCCACACAGAAUUCCCUUUCCCCUUUCGCCGCCUCCGCCACCUCUCCCACUCCUUCCGCUCCUCCCACGCGAAUCUUAUCCUCUCCAACCCUCGUGAAGAUGUAUACGUUCACGCUGUACACGAUGCACACCACCUGCUCGACAUAAUGCCCAAGAUAGAGUGCUUUGUUGCGAGCAGGAAAACCCGGCUGCCUGUGAGGCUAAUUGUGAUUGAUUCCAUUGCCGCACUAUUUCGCAGCGAAUUUGGCAACAACCCUUUGGAUCUUAAGCGGAGGUCCUUCCUGUUCUUCGAGAUUUCCGGGAUGCUGAAGUUGUUGGCGAGAAAGUACAGCUUGGCGGUGGUGGUGAUGAACCAGGUGGUUGAUUUUAUGGGGGAAGUAGAGGGGAUAAGUGGGAUGAGAGUUGGGAAUUUGAGCUCCUUGCGUUCAUCCGGAAGACGGGUUUGUCCUGCUUUGGGAUUAGCUUGGUCACGUUGCGUGAAUUCGAGGUUGUUCUUGUUUAGAAAUGAGGAGAUUGUUGGGAGAGAAAAUGAUGGGUUGGAGGAUGAUCUGUUCAGGCAAACAAGAAGGCGACUUGAUGUUGUUUUUGCUCCUCAUUUGCCGCCAUCAUCUUGAACUGGAACAGGCGGAAUUGCUAGCACAGCUUGAAUCGGAGCAUCAAAAUGUGUUGAUGGUGCUGCUAGUCAAGGGAUGGUGCUGCUAGUCAAGGGAUUGAGCUGGAAUGAAUGGACUGGGCGGGAAGAGAACAUGAAGGCUCGGACUGUGACACGGAAACUCCCAGCGGAAGUGUAAGAAUGUGUACUAGCAAUUAAUGACAGUGGUGCUCAGACUAACUAAUCUUUAUGGACAAAGCAAGAGUCUGAACAAGAGACCUUUUUUUUCACUCAUAUGCUUGUGUCUCAGGCUAAACAAAGUUAUUGCAACUGUUAUUUACUUACCCUGUAUAGCUCGCUAUUGAUGUCAAUAUGAUUUUGCAUUCCCUUGGCUUCUCUAGCGUUUUGUUCACUUCUCUCAUCUAGAUUGAUGUCAGUAUAUGUAACAUGUCGAACAGUAAGUGCAUACAUAUAUGUGACAUGGCUUAUAAUUGCUUUAAACAGAAUGCACAACUAGUUCACUAUACCAUUGUCUAUCAUAGUAUCAGUAACUAGUAGAUGGAAAUGCGUUCUGUUCAUCAGUCCUUUCAUGAGU